AAUCUUAAAAAAUUAAACUGCAAAUUUAAAAAUGAAACAAUUUCUAAGAUU
This 51-nucleotide transfer RNA is filed under the name Amblyomma tholloni. RNAcentral describes it as "tRNA-Cys". Lineage: Eukaryota; Metazoa; Arthropoda; Arachnida; Ixodida; Ixodidae. The record is from RNAcentral.